GCAAAACUGCAAAUUAACGGAGGAGAAGAAAGGACCUGCAUUUUCAGUAGCUUUCAAUUUUGGCCUAAUUAAAUUUCUUUAAUGCAGUCAGAAAUUAAAGGGAAGCCCAACAACUGGUCCUUCAGGUGAAAGGAAGGUUGAUGUAGAAGCAGGAAGGGCUGGUGCUGAGCUCUGUGCUUCUAGCCCUAAGUUGGUAUUUUACAGUUGAAAAAUGGUAGUUGUAUGACAAGUGCAGGGUUCAUUUCACUUUAUGGCAAUAACAACUUUUUGGCCUAGCGCAGAGAAGGAUAAUAUGCUUCAGGAAAAAGGAAAAGCAGCAAAAGGAUGUAAUGGACAAAAUCAACUGGUUUCUGGGUGGAUCUUUUCCUUCAACCGAGACACGUUAGCACAGCCAGGACCGUGUCGGUGCUCCCAGCUGCAGGAGGUGUGCUCAGCAGACGGACGGAGCGAGGGCAGGCAGGGAUCCGCAGCAGCGCCUGUGCCGGGAUGGCAGGGCUCUCUUGAAUGAAGCCAUAUGUUGUACUCGCGGGGGACGAGAGGCGGCUUGGUCUCGGCUUGGAGAAACAUGGAAGUGUUGAGAAGAUAGACCUGAGUCAAGUUCAGGGUUUCAGCAGUUUUCAGCUCUACUCUCCUUUCUCCUUCAGAUUUUAGAAGACAAGACAUGCUGCAAGAGCAAACAGGAUUGUUUUUUUUUUUUGCAUCAUAUCAUUUACCAAGCAGUUAAACCCCCACAGAUUUUUAGGCUGCUGCCGUACUUUUUUCCGCACUUCAAAGGAUUAAAAUUGAACACGUUCCAAGUGAAAAGUAACAGCCCAAACUGACAAAUCAAACUAGAUGUAACCCUGUGUUUCAUUAUUAAAGCUUGAUGUGUUCAGGCUCAGUCUCCCUGGCACAGGGAGGCUCGUCCUGCCUCCCUGUCCGAGGAGGAGCUCGGACGUCUCUCCGUACCCACAGCCGUGGGCUCGUGGCAAGUCUCCUGCAACACCUACCAGCUCAAGCCUUGUUUGGGCCGUUCCUCGUCUCUUUCAUGAUGAGGCACUGGACAAGCAAGUGUUACGUCCAUCAGUGAGAGGGCAUUACCUGUAGGAGAAGGCUGACAUCUCUCCUGGUUUUAGAGGCAUCUGUGGUGCCUCCUGCAGGGGCGGCCUCCAGGCUGGCUGUGGCAUGGCGUUAGAGGUGACACAGCUGUAACCUCCGGCAGCUGCCAGCCCUUCUUGGCCAAAUAAAGUGACUGUUUAAGCCUACCUCUGUCA
Molecule: long non-coding RNA, 1253 nt
Filed under: Anser brachyrhynchus (Pink-footed goose)
Lineage: Eukaryota; Metazoa; Chordata; Aves; Anseriformes; Anatidae
Description: lncRNA (ENSABRG00000005109.1)
Source: RNAcentral